This is a long non-coding RNA of Coturnix japonica (Japanese quail), 1596 nucleotides long. The record is from Ensembl. NCBI's taxonomy places the organism in Eukaryota, Metazoa, Chordata, Aves, Galliformes, Phasianidae.
AUGGCGGCGGCGGCUCCCCCUGGCGGGCAGACGUCAGCCUCAAUCCGAGAGCACGGCAGCCAUGACGUGCUCGCUACAGGGUUGUUCCAGGCGCAGCUCCGCGGCUCGGCAGCUGGGUCUGGCUCCCAGCGGAGCUCCACGAAGCUCAUCACGACGCUGAUUUGGGAGCUGCAGGGCAACAGAGCCCACAGAGCCGCUCCCUUAACAGCCACCCAGAGUCGUGGCCUCCGCGGCGCCGCUGAGCAAGCCAGAAGCCUGCUGAAGCUGCAACACAACAGGAGUCCCAGAGGUGUGUGCCAGAGCAGGAUGUUGCACACAGUGGUCAGAACACAGAGCCAGUGGAAAUAACAGUUGUGAAUUGAAGAAUACUUGCUAUCUUCCUAGAUAAAGCGGUUGCUUUCACGAUAGUGGCAUCUGUGGGAUCCAAGGAUAUUUAAUGUGACAAGAGGUCCUGACCUAUUGGAGGCAGCUGAUGUCAUGAUAACCUUGAUAGUCAGAGGCGCUGUAGUACUCUUGGCUACUAACUACUGAUGUACAGGAAAGCAAGGAAGGCUUAGUACUAUCAAGAGCUGCUUCUUGGAGGAAGCUAAAAAUUUUAAUAUAUAUUUUUCUUAUUACUUACUGAGGCAAUGGCAUGUCAGGAUCAAUGUAUCGUGGAGACUGUAGAAAGACUGUUUAGCAAGACAAGAUGGUUCGGAGUGAGAGGGAGAUACUGGAUUGUGUUUUGCGGACUUAGCAUUUAGGAAGAUGGUAUCCAGCUGGCAAUGGAGUUCACAGUUAAAUCACAAAUACAUUUUGACUCAGUUGGGGUUGCUGGAACAAGAGUUACAUACUUCUAAAACUUUCUCCAGUCUUAAAUGAAGUAGCAGGUUUAGGAGUCUAGCUUAGGCUGACAAUUUCAACUGGAAUGCAGUAAUUCCUCCUGGGCAGAUGCAUAUUGCAGGGUCAGAGACUGACUCUUCAGCAUUUAGGAAUCCACACCUGUCAGAAAAUAUUUUGCUAUGCUUAGAGAGAAGACUUCAGCCUUGAGGUUUCUUAUUUAAAAUGCAUUUAUAUUAUUGACAGAUGCUUGAGCAAUUCUUGAAAUUUAUUCCUGUUCCAUACAGCCAAAAUAACCACCUCACUCUCUAUUCCCACUGUGUCGGAUGUUGAACCACCUUAUGAAACUGUUAAUUUAAUAAUGAUUCUUUCUUGCCUGCCAUAUCUACUGCUUGGGUCAUUUAAAUGACACCAGGGAGCUCUUGACUUCAUUUUAAAUAAUAUAUAGAUUUUCUUAAGCUACUCUUUGAUGAGCAGAAAGGAAUUAGAUGCUGUCCCCUAAAUCACAGCUCUCUGUAAUUACAGCUAGACUAAGCAUCAAAGGCCAUAGUCUCUUUCAUUUGUGCCCACUGAAAUCAAACCUAAAGUAUUAAACUACUCUAGAUAAAAUAGUAAUAAUAUCCCCUAAGAUUCAGAGUGUUACAGUGUCAUCUUCAUAAUGAAAAGUAUUAUUUUUCAGGCAGGGUGCCCUCCAGCUAGGUUAAUAACACUUUUGAUUCUGUUGGCCCUGAAACAGCACCUGGAUUUCUGCACAAUAAAGCUCAGCUGCUCCCUGCA